Molecule: non-coding RNA, 4858 nt
Organism: Camelina sativa (false flax)
Lineage: Eukaryota; Viridiplantae; Streptophyta; Magnoliopsida; Brassicales; Brassicaceae
Source: RefSeq, a predicted model, not a curated record
ACAAAUUUAUAGGGAAGUGGGAAAAAGAAACAGAAAAUUAGGUAUAAGUUUCCAAAAUGGCACAUGGGUACUUUCUUGGGUAGUGUGAAUUAUCGAACAUUUCUUGAUUAAUACUAUACAUUUUUUCUUUCACCAAAACUAAACAACAAAAUGAAUCUUAAUGGCUUAUUUAAUCUUCGGUAGCAACAUUUUCCACACAAAUCGUUUCAACUACAAAAAAAAAUAUUCUCUGAAGUAAAACAAAAGGCAAAUCCGAGGAUCAAUCUUGAAGUUUUCUCGUCUUUUCUUGCAUCGUGUGAAACUUCUUGGUUCAUCAAUGGGUUCUGUAAUGAGCUUGAGCUGUUCGAAAAGGAAAGCUACGAGUCAGGAUGUGGAAUCCGAAUCUGUUAAAAGACGAAAGAUAUGCUCAACCAACGAUGAUGAGAAUUCCAGUUCGAUUCCAAGUCCUCCGGAUGACUCAUCUUGGAGUUUAUGUGCCAAUAGAGUCGUCAACGUCACAACUGCUGUUUUUACGAAAUUCAGAUUCCAACAAGAAGACAACAUAAAUACUAAAUCUUCUGCUUUACCGCUUCGAUCUCCUCCAACUACUUUGUCUCAAAACUGUAAACACCAUGUCUUCCCAAGCUUCCACGGACCAGAUGUCCGAAGAACCUUUCUUAGUCACAUCCUUGCAGUGUUCAGGGGAAAGGGUAUCAGCCCAUUCAUUGAUAAUCAUAUACCGAGGAGCAAGUCGAUCGGUCCUGAGCUCAAAGAUGCUAUUAGAGGAUCAAAGAUCGCUAUCGUCUUGCUUUCCAAGAACUAUGCUUCUUCUUCCUGGUGUCUUGAUGAGUUGGCAGAGAUCAUGAACUGCAGGGAAGUGUCGGGUCAGAUUGUCAUGACCAUUUUCUAUGAAGUGGAUCCAACUGACAUAAAGAAACAGACCGGUGAUUUUGGGAAAGCCUUCAGAAAAAGUUGUAAAGGUAAAACAAAUGAGCAUACUGAGAGAUGGAGAAAAGCGUUGGAGGAUGUGGCUACCAUUGCCGGAUAUCAUUCUCACAGAUGGGUCAAUGAAGCGGCCAUGAUCGAAAAAAUAGCCGCUGAUGUUUCAAACAUGUUGAAUAGCUCCACACCAUCAAGAGAUUUCGAUGGUCUAGUAGGGAUGAGAGCUCAUAUGGAAAAGUUGAAACUGUUGUUAAGCCUAGAUUUGGAUGAAGUAAGGAUGAUCGGGAUUUGGGGGCCGCCUGGGAUUGGUAAGACAACCAUCGCAAGAGUUGUGUUUAACCAAGUCUCCAACAGAUUCCAACUUGCCGCAAUCAUGGUUAAUAUCAAAGGAUGCUAUCCAAGACCUUGUUUGGAUGAGUAUAGUGCACAAUUGCAGCUACAAAGCCAAAUGUUGUCUCAGAUUAUCAAUCAGAAAGAUCUUAUGAUUUCUCAUUUAGGAGUGGCACAAGAACGAUUGAAAGACAAGAAAGUGUUUGUUGUUCUUGAUGAAGUGGAUCAAUUGGGACAACUAGAUGCCUUGGCAAAAGAAACUCAAUGGUUUGGUCCUGGAAGUCGGAUUAUAAUCACAACAGAAGAUCUAAGAGUUUUGAAUGCUCAUGGGAUCAACCAUAUUUACAAAGUAGAUUUUCCAUCAAGUGAUAAGGCUUUCAAAAUCUUCUGUAUGUAUGCUUUUGGAAAAAAGUAUCCAGAUGAUGGUUUCGCUGAGCUUGCUUGGGAAGUUACGAAUCUUGCUGGUAAACUCCCUUUGGGAUUGAAGGUGCUAGGCUCCGCUUUGAAAGGAAUGUCCAAGCAGGAGUGGAAAAGGAUACUACCAAUGUUACAAACCAGCCUUAAUGGAGAAAUAGGGAGCAUUAUAAAGUUCAGCUAUGAUGCCUUAUGUGAUGAAUAUAAAGAUAUAUUUCUUUAUGUAGCCUGCUUUUUCAAUGGCAUAUUCAAUGGCAUAGUUGCUCAUAACCUGGAAAAGUUUCUUUCAAAGAAGUUGUCACAUGUGACGCAUGCUGGUAUUCAUGUCUUAGCUGAGAAAUCUCUCAUAUCUAUUGACCAAUUCGGAUACAUAAAGAUGCAUACUCUGCUUGAGCAAUUCGGAAGAGAAACUUCUCGUAAGGAAUUCCUUCAUAAUCGGCUUCUGAAAUGUCAGCUUUUGGUUGAUGGAAGAGAUAUUUGUGAAGUGCUCGGUAAUGAUACAAGAGAUAAUAGAUGUUUUAUAGGGAUUUAUUUUAAGUUAUCUGAGAUUGAGGAAGAAUUGAAUAUAAGUGAGAAAGCACUUGAAAGAAUGUCUGAUCUCGAAAUCGUAAUAAUCGAGGGUGAGGAGGAUCUUGCUCAGCCUGAGAGACUGAACUCACUGCUAUGUCAUUCACAAAAGAUUAGAUUACUGUAUUGGAGUUAUUUCCAGAAUAUAUGUUUGCCUUCUACUUUUAAUCCCGAGUUUCUUGUUGCACUAACUAUGCAUUCCAGCAAGCUCCUAAAGCUAUGGGAUGGAGUAAAACAACUUAAAAAUCUCAGGUGGAUGGAUUUGAGUGAUUCUAAAGAUCUGAAAGAGCUUCCCGAUCUUUCAACUGCCACUAAUCUUGAAAACUUAAAUCUCGGUUCUUGCUCAAGUUUAGUGGAGUUUCCCUCUAUUGGGAAUGCAACUAAACUUAAGAAAUUGAAUCUUUCUAAUUGCUCAAGUUUAGUGGAGGUUCCUUCUUCUUCUAUUGAGAAUUUGACCAAUCUCCGGGAAUUAGAUCUAUCUGGUUAUUCAAAUCUUGUGGAGUUUCCCUCUAUUGGGAAUGCAACUAAACUUGAGAUAUUGAAUCUUUCUAACUGCUCAAGUUUAGUGGAGGCUCCUUCUUCUAUUGAGAAUUUGACCAAUCUCCGGGAAUUAGAUCUAUCUGGUUACUCAAAUCUUGUGGAGCUUCCCUCUAUUGGGAAUGCAACUAAACUUGAGAAACUGAAUCUUCGUGAUUGCUCAAGGCUUGAGAAAUUCUCCUCUUCUAUCAAUGCCACGAAUCUCCGGGAAUUGUGUCUAACGAAUUGUUCACGUGUCAUGGAGCUCCCAUCUAUGGAGAAUGCGACUAAUCUCCGGUUAUUGGAUCUCCACAAUUGCUCAAGUCUACUAGAGCUCCCUCCUUCUAUUGGAUCUGCCACAAAUCUGAAGCAAUUGAUAAUGAGCAGAUGCUCAAGUAUCGUGAAUCUCCCAACCUCUAUUGGAGAUUGCACUAAUCUCGAUCAUUUUGAGCUAGAUAACUGCUCAAAUCUGGUGGAGCUUCCUUCCUCUAUAGGCAAACUUCAGCGAUUGUCUACGUUGACAAUGUGUGGGUGCUCAAAGCUAGAGGCUCUUCCAACCAACAUUAACUUGAAAUCUCUCCGUAUACUUGAUCUCACAGAUUGCUUGCAGUUGAAAAGUUUUCCUGAGAUCUCCACAAGCCUUGUGAGUCUCAGGCUCACAGGAACAGCAAUAAAAGAAGUUCCUUUGUCGAUCAUGUCGUGGUCUCGUCUUUUUGUCUUUCGUAUGUCAUAUUUUGAAAGCCUCAGGGAAUUCCCGCAUGCUCUUGAAAUCAUCACGGAGCUGCAUUUGGUAAACGAAGAUAUACAAGAAGUUCCUCCAUGGGUCAAGGGAAUGUCUUGUUUAGAGACGCUUAUACUCAAGAACUGCAAUAAUCUGGUAUCACUCCCACAACUUCAAUAUUUCCUAUUAAGCAUAGUUGCAGACAACUGUCAGUCCCUUGAGAGAUUGGACUGUUCUUUUAACAAUCUGAAGUUCACCAACUGCUUCAAACUGAAGCAAGAAGCCAGAGAUCUCAUCAUGCACACAUCGACUUCUGGAUAUGCGAUUUUACCGGGUACACAAGUGCCUGCCUGCUUCAAUCACCGAGCUACUGCUGGAGGUUUAUUGACAAUCAAGUUGAAUGAGUUGUCUUUUCCUACAUUUUUGAGAUUUAAGGCUUGUGUCAUGCUCGUUAAGGAAGAAACGGAUGCUGAUCAUGGUUACAUGUUUCUAUAUACUAACAUCAAGGACAAACAGAAUGAUCUCAAGGUUCGGUGUACACGAGGCAGCCGUCUAAUAGAUCCACUUUUAACAGAGCAUAUCUACAUAUUUGAAGUUGAAGCAGAGGAGACGGUGAUUUCCACCGAGCUUGUCUUUGAGUUCACAACAGACAGUAGAAAGUGGAAGAUCGGAGGAUGCGGGGUAUAUCAAAUCUUGAAGGUUAGUGUUAAUGAAGAUGAUGAGAGCUUUAGAGAUGGGCAUCGAUGGAGGAGGGUUAAAAAAAUUUAUGCCAUUUUCCUCUUCUUUAAAAUUUUAUAUAAGAUUGUGUAACGAUUAUGUUUACAAACAGAGACAGCGAAAAUAGAGACGAGAAGGAGAAGAAGGAAGAAUCAAUUAAAGUCAUGAGUGAGUACAAAUCCAAUACUGGGAAGCUGUAGAGACAUUGGAAUUCGUGUUUGAUAUGAACAAUUAGUGAAUGAUGAUGUUUUUGGGAUUUUGGUUUUAGGGUUUUGGUCCGAGUGAAGAGCUGUUGAUUCUUUGAAACUCAUGUUUCCGAAUCAGUUUUCAUUUGUGAGAACUGCUUCAACAUUACACAGGAAUUGUGUGGUUUGAUUAGUAUCUCUGACAAACGAUUUUGUAAAUUUGAGAUGUGCUGCUUAGUCGUCGUUGGAGAGAUUUUGAACAACUCUUUCACAUCUUUGCUUACUCACUCGUGUUCAAGAGAUGGGAAAGGAGCCUUCUUUGGAUGAAGAACCAAUUAAAGAGGCUCUAUGUAUCCCUUGUGAGGAAAUUGAACAUGCUGGCGGGUAGAUAAAGCCACAACUGCUUAAGGCAUUUCCACUUCACUGGGCUUAGUCGCCGGCCGCAACAAACUAGGCCUAAACCCUCCUUCUAGCAACUUCCCCACUU